This is a long non-coding RNA of Taeniopygia guttata (zebra finch), 4167 nucleotides long. RefSeq lists it as uncharacterized. The record is from RefSeq and is a predicted model, not a curated record. NCBI's taxonomy places the organism in Eukaryota, Metazoa, Chordata, Aves, Passeriformes, Estrildidae.
CUCGCCAGCACCGCCCGCCCCCGCUACCUCCUCCGCGGCACCUGCUGCCGCCCGCCGCGCCCGCACACCGCUGGCGCGGCUCGGCGGGGCACGGGCGGCGCGAGUGAAGCUCUUUUUGAUUCACAUCCGGUUGUAUCAUGACUACACUAGAAACAAACCGUUCUACUGCAUGAAUAACUUUGGAGUGGAUUAUCUCUUGCAGUUCAUGUAAUGAAUGACUGCACACACCAUCCAAAUGGGCAAAUAGUUGGUGUAUCAGAGACUUGUUUAAAAAGUUAAGAUUUGAUUUUGUGUAACUGAAAUACAUCUGGAGAUUAUUUUUCUCGUAUGUGUGUAAAUAUGAAGAGAGCAGUUCCUAGUGUUUACCUUCCUACAGCUCUUCCACUUCAUGGCCUCAGGGGCAAAGACUGCUUUCCCAGCCUGCCUGGUAUGUGGCAUUAGAUGCUACAGCCUUGUUCUUGCUAACAUAUGCUGCUUCAAGCAAGAAAAAUCUUUUGUGUACACAGGGGUUGACUGGGCUCCUCAAGAAGGUGUCUUAGUGUAAGUAGUAUGUUGAAAAUAUAAUUCCCCUUGCAGAUGUACAAUACAACAUACUGCCUUCAGUGCUCACUACUGCAUGGUCUGCUGUGCUUUGAGCUGAACAGCACUUUCAUAAAGGUCCUGUUGUCAUUACAGAAAUAUUUUAUAAGCCAUUUCCUGAUAUGCAAUUCACAAGAAGACUCUAGUCAUGGAGAAAUACAAAGCUGGAUCUGGGUAGCUGACGGCCUUCCUUGCUUGUCUGUAGAAUAUAUGGGUUUACUGGAGGGAGAAAAAUUAUUCUUUGUGCUCUGCAUUAUGGCUGCUCCACGAUCAUCUGUACCUGGCUUUGUGGUGGGGGUCCAACUUUCUAUCUGGGAUGUAACUAGCUCUUUGCACACCUCAGGGUUUGGACUCCAAAGCAGAACUUGGUAUAAAGUAAUUUUUGUAAUUUCAGCUAUAUUAAAGUGCUUCAGUAAGUUAGUGUAUGAAUCUUACAAUCCACAGGUUUUGGUGGCAUCUCCAUAAAGGGAUCUCAGACAGAAAAUUUUUCUCCAUCCUUAGCAACAUCCUUACAGGAACUCUGUUCAAGUGAGGGGCAGGAAUCUGUAUGCUAUGAGGUGGUCUGCAAGAUGGUGCCAUCUGCACUGAGGUUUCAUGCCUUUGCAGCAACAUUAGUCUUUCAAAGGCUUUCUUCAUGUGGGAAUGGGAAGAUACCUUGUGGGGUCUGCAGUGUGUAUAAUGAAUAGAGAGUCAUGUGUUCAUACAAGGAUACAAGCCAGAAUAUAUCCAUACAGAAGAAUAGAAUAAAAUUAUGGGUUUCUGUCUGUUAAAAAUAUGCUCAUGGGAGAAUAACAGCCCUACUGUGCUAGUGAGAAUAUAAGAGCAAAGCAUGUAUGUGGUCUAAGGUUUAGGAAGGGUGCUGAAUUUUGUAAGGAAUGUGAGCUGCCUCUUGUAAUUGUAACUGCUUUAUUCGUUUUGUUGGGGAAAAUGCAUUAACAUUUGUUUGUUUCCAUUAGUGACCUGCAGUCUUUGUCUUUUUGCAAUACAUAUUUGAGUUUAACUUCUUUGGUUCUGGGGAAGUCAGGAAGCUGCCGACAGCAGGUAGAUAAGAAAGUGCCCAACCUCAGUACAGAGAGGAAGUGUGUAGGGAAACCUGGCAUUGCCACCUCAGUUAAGCACGUUCUCACAGUCAAGUGGUAUAUGGUAUUGAAUAUAAUGCAUAAUUGUUUUAGUACUGCUUAUUGUUUUUAGCAAAGUCUCCAAGUCUCCACCCUAUUUUCUGGCUGUAACUGGUGAAUGUUCUUGAAUAUGAGAUGUUGCCUUGGAAAAGCUGGAAAGUACUGUCAAGAAGCUAAGCGAACCACUUACACAUUGCCUUCACCUUAAAAUAUGAUGCAACAAGAAAAGGCAUCGUAUUACCUUUCCUUUUGGAAUUGUGGCAGAUAUUGGAUCCCUGAGAUUUUACAAUAUCAAUUCACUGGUUAAUGCAUUUGGAUUUACAAAAAAAUGGAUAAGUGGUCCCAUCCUUUGGUCUGGAUCCUUUGGGAUAAUUAAAUUACUCUGUUGGUUAUAGAGUGUAAAGUCAACUUACAAGAAAAAAUAAAGAACAAAAAGGAUCUUCUGGAGUACAUGUAACGUGAAUUCACUGUGUUUUGUUCCUUUCUCUUAUUGCCUUAAAGACCAUAUAGCCUCAAUUUCUAAAUGAAUUCCUGAAGCACUGGGAUUACUAAUUCAGCCUCAGUUCUUAAAUCAGCAGGACUUUUGCAUUCAGCACCUUUGGUGAAGGACAUGAUGUGAGGAUGUGCCUACAACAUUCAGCCUAAUCUUUUAAGGAAAAGGAAAGCCUCAUGGGUAGAAAAAGCAGCAACUAUGUAUUAUGAGAUAACACCCUGCGUUAGGAUCAGUUGCAGAAAUAUUUUCUUCAUUGCGUGCUGGUGUUAAAGGCAUUAACUGCUUUUGAGAUUGCAUGCCUGAACUUGCAGUAAAUGAAGGAGGUGUGUUCAUGGCUGUAUUUUGGACAUGCAGAACCAAGAUCUGUAUUACUGACUUCAGAUGAGUUGUACAGAGGAUAAGAGAAAGCGAAUGUAUCCUUUGGGAAUAUUAUAAAAUAGGUAUGUGCAUGAAUCCUGAUUCAUGUGAUUGUGUGUCUGAAUCUGAGGGAUAAAUUGGCCUAUUUUUUCUUUUUCGAAGGCUUCUCUGCAAAUUGUGUGAAGGUUUAUACUCUUGUUAAAAAGUCCUGCUCAUGUCCAUGUUCUGUGUUCUGUCUACAGCUUUACACAAAAAGAAGGGGAACAAAGAAACAUAUACACAACUUUCCAGUAAAAAUGCACCAUUCCUGUGUUCUUCAAGAUAUCUAAGAGUGAAUCAGGACUCAUAGAAAAGUCCUGUUUACCCACCAUCAUUAUAUGAGCUGUAAAAAUAAGACAGAACUUAAGUUUCACUGGUGAUUUUAAUCCACUUUUUAAAUUUUUAAAAAAAUUUCUAGUGGUACAAGAAAUAGAUAGUUCCUCUCUGAAGGAGCCUAGAAAAUACUUAUUUCUUUUGGUUGUAUUCUUCACAAUGACAGAAAAAAAUGGAUACAGUUGCCAAUAUCAACACCAAUUGGAAUUCGCUGCUGAUUCCUGUGAGGACAGGAUUUCGUCCUCUCUUCUACAAACCGGUCAGUUUUCUUUGUAUAGUCACUUAUUAACAAGGCUCCCCUGUUGUGAGCAUGUGUGAUAUGAACAUAAAUGCAUUUUUCUUAGUGUUACAGUACUAAAAGACUUCAUAACAGCUAUGCUAUGUUAGGAACGGAACCUUGGAAGCAUUUAAUUUGUUUUCAAACCACAAGUUUGAUUUAAUUGGUGGUACUGUGCAGUGUGUAAGCCUGGAAAUGAGAGGAUUUUAAGUCAUGCUUUGGAACCAAAAUUUCCAUUAUCCUUUUUGGUUUGUUUUUUUUUUUUCUUUUUUUUUUUUUCAGUAAUAUGUGAUAAAACUUUAGUUGUGAAAUAAGUGCCUCCAUUUCUGCCAGAUGUAGCAUAGAAUGUGGCUUCAGAAUAUACCUGUUGCUACCGCGCGGGUGUGGUGGGGGAAGGGCUUUGGAAGGGCUUUGGGAAUGGGAAAGCUGAGAAGGAUUCAUUUUUGUAUUUCCCUGAGUUUCUAGAAAGUUUCACUUCAGCAUUUUUAUGUAACCCCACCCUUACCAAUUUUGCAGCUGUGCACUUUUUAUAUGUAUCAUUAGAAGUGAGAAACUCUUUAGAAUAUCAUGCCCUGAUGUGACACCAAUUCUGUAUGGUUAGUAAUAAGCCAAAUAAAACUUGAUCUUGCUAUACGGCAAGAUUUAUUAUACAUAAGUAUAUUCUGAUCGGAUUUUUCUAUGAGAAAACUUGCUAGGAUGAAAGCAUAUAAAAAUUCCACUGAAAGUGCAUGUUUGUAAAGAUUUCCAAUGGAAAAUGACGAAUUUGAAAUUUGAUUUUCUUUCAUGUUUUUCUUAAUAUGUUCACCUUCGUGGAAGUACACAUGUGUUCACAUGGUAAAUCUGAUAUUUCUGUUCCAAAAAGUUCUAUAGUGGAGAAGGAUAUUAAUAUUUGUUUUCUUCUUUACUAAGGAUAAAAAAAUGAUGUGUUGUAUGUUAGAAAUAAGAAAUGAAAUUAUUUUAGUGGAUUAAAA